ACAUAUUCUUGUAUGGUGACCUUAUCUAAUGAUGUGACCUUACUACAACUCUCUUACUAUGAUCUUCUAUUCUAUUAUAUAUAACUUCAAAAUUUCUAUACCAUACAUAUUUCUUAUAUUAUACUAUUUCAAUAUCUUGUUUCCAUACUACAACAUAUUUUGAUACAAUAUUGCAACAAAAUCCAAUAGAAAAAAAAAUCCAAAAAUUUAUUUAUUUUUAUUUUUAUUUUUUAAUUAAAACUACUUCAUUUUAAUUUGCUAUACUAUAAUUUGAAGAAGAGAAAACAUUCUUGUAAAGUGAAAGAUUAGAAAUCUACACAAAAAUAAGACAAGCUAUCUUU
Molecule: long non-coding RNA, 341 nt
Filed under: Physcomitrium patens
Lineage: Eukaryota; Viridiplantae; Streptophyta; Bryopsida; Funariales; Funariaceae
Description: long non-coding RNA (PPAT_LNC006270)
Source: RNAcentral